UACGUAGGGUGCGAGCGUUAAUCGGAAUUACUGGGCGUAAAGCGUGCGUAGGCGGUUCUGCAAGUCAGAUGUGAAAUCCCCGGGCUUACCCUGGGAACUGCAUUUGAAACUACGGAGCUAGAGUGUGUCAGAGGGGGGUAGAAUUCCACGUGUAGCAGUGAAAUGCGUAGAGAUGUGGAGGAAUACCGAUGGCGAAGGCAGCCCCCUGGGAUGACACUGACGCUCAUGCACGAAAGCGUGGGGAGCAAACAGG
RNAcentral lists this ribosomal RNA (253 nucleotides) under uncultured bacterium. RNAcentral describes it as "partial 16S ribosomal RNA". It matches the Rfam family "Bacterial small subunit ribosomal RNA", at positions 524 to 776 of the family's 1533-position model. The record is from RNAcentral.